UUCUAUAAUAAUGAACCCAGAAUGUAAAAGAGGACUUUUUGGUACUGACUGUUUUUUUAACAACAAGGUAUAUAUGAUUCGGCACAGCCGAAUAUAGAACUCUUACUUGUUUUUACUAAAGCUAUCUGCAAUCAACAUUUUUCAUCUCACAAAAAAUUUUAGAGUCCAUUUUUAAUGACAAAUAUAUAUAAAUGACCCAUAUAUUAGCUGAUUUAUUACCUUUCCAACGAUAUAUAUUUAAUUAAUUCUUUACAACUAUUUUUUUCUUUUGUCUAUUGGACAACGUACUGUGCGACGUAAGCAGAGAUGAUGUAGCACAACCGUUAAUGACAUGCUGGGAAGCAACAAACCUAGAAGAGAGGAAGAUUGGAUGACGGACGAAAUACGAGAGCUACGAAAGAAAUAAACACAGGGGCAAUUCCAUGAAAAGUGCAGUUCUCACUCUCUCAAAAUGAUUGGCAAUAACUGUUUUAGAGUAUGUUGAUCAGUACAUAAACAAAAUGCUUUAAUGGCUCAUACCUUGAGCUUAGUAUGAUGGAUUACAUCAGGCGAUAAUACAUUCAAUCCUUCUAUCAAAAAAAGUUUUUUUAAGCUCCCUUAAAUGUUGAUGGCUAUUUGGGAUAGAUUUAUUGAAUCAAGGUGUGAUAACAACUAUAUUUUAUUACGUCUACUUUCUACGCAAAUGUUUUUUGGUUUAAUUUCAAUUUGAAAUGGUUUAUGAAGGAAAUUAUGAUGAAAAAUAAAAGAGAAUUACAUUACUAAUUACAAUCAAAACAAAACUAAAAAUAAAUUUUAUAUUUUAUAA
Molecule: unclassified non-coding RNA, 805 nt
Filed under: Lucilia cuprina (Australian sheep blowfly)
Lineage: Eukaryota; Metazoa; Arthropoda; Insecta; Diptera; Calliphoridae
Description: probable dolichyl pyrophosphate Man9GlcNAc2 alpha-1, 3-glucosyltransferase, transcript variant X8
Source: RNAcentral